This 61-nucleotide transfer RNA is filed under the name Jesogammarus hinumensis. RNAcentral's name for it is "tRNA-Leu". The record is from RNAcentral. Lineage: Eukaryota; Metazoa; Arthropoda; Malacostraca; Amphipoda; Anisogammaridae.
GUUAUUUAAGUGUCUAUCACGUUAUAUUUAGGGUUUAAAAAAGGUAAGUUACCAAAUAACA